This is a long non-coding RNA of Lacerta agilis (Sand lizard), 170 nucleotides long. RefSeq lists it as uncharacterized. The transcript has 3 exons. The record is from RefSeq and is a predicted model, not a curated record. Lineage: Eukaryota; Metazoa; Chordata; Lepidosauria; Squamata; Lacertidae.
CUUUGCUCGGAAGGAGGCCCUGCAGGGUUCCCCGCGGGGCGCCAGCCCAGUGCUUCAACUGGAUUGCUUAACCUUGGAUUUGCAAGCGUGCUGCCGGAUCACGUGCCUUGUUUCCCGCGAGUAAGUCGCAUCGAAAGGGGUUUGGUCCCAGUUGUGGGAUAAGAAUGGAG